Molecule: unclassified non-coding RNA, 332 nt
Filed under: Hevea brasiliensis (rubber tree)
Lineage: Eukaryota; Viridiplantae; Streptophyta; Magnoliopsida; Malpighiales; Euphorbiaceae
Source: RNAcentral
CGCUCCGAAAGAACGCUUUCCGCUGGUUCUCCAGACUGAAAGCGAGAUCUAUUAGGUCCUGAGACAAGUUGUUUGAGUUAUUAUGCUCCUGAUUUCGUUCUUUGAGGAAAUCUAUCACGUCGGAAGAUUUACGGCGUAGUAAAAAAGAACCCGAGGAGUCGGUUGAGCUAUGGAACGAUUCCGUUUAUUAGCAAGCCUUUCUCCCACGAAAUCAGUUAGCAGUAGCAGAAUCUAUCCCAGAAGAGAAAUUGGGAAAAAUGUGUAUUGCGGGAAUCCGCAUUGAAUUGCGCUCGGGCUUGAUUAUUGCUGGAGGCCCUACUACUUUCGAUGAA